RNAcentral lists this ribosomal RNA (391 nucleotides) under uncultured bacterium. RNAcentral's name for it is "bacterial SSU rRNA". It matches the Rfam family "Bacterial small subunit ribosomal RNA", at positions 963 to 1353 of the family's 1533-position model. The record is from RNAcentral.
GAAGAACCUUACCACCCCUUGACAUCCUCGGAACUGCCUGGAGACAGGCAGGUGCCUUCGGGAACCGAGUGACAGGUGCUGCAUGGCUGUCGUCAGCUCGUGUCGUGAGAUGUUGGGUUAAGUCCCGUAACGAGCGCAACCCUUGUCCUUAUUUGCCAGCGGGUCAGGCCGGGAACUCUAGGGAGACUGCCGGUGACAAACCGGAGGAAGGUGGGGAUGACGUCAAGUCAUCAUGGCCCUCACGGGGUGGGCUACAAACGUGCUACAAUGGGCGGCACAGAGGGCUGUGAACCAGCAAUGGCAAGCGAAUCCCAAAAAACCGCUUGUAGUCCGGAUAGGAGUCUGCAACUCGACUCCUUGAAGUCGGAAUCGCUAGUAAUCGCGAAUCAGA